RNAcentral lists this ribosomal RNA (265 nucleotides) under uncultured archaeon. RNAcentral describes it as "partial 16S ribosomal RNA". It matches the Rfam family "Archaeal small subunit ribosomal RNA", at positions 713 to 982 of the family's 1478-position model. The record is from RNAcentral.
AGGACGUCUACAUUAGAUACCCGCGUAGUCCCAGCCGUAAACUAUGCGCGUUAGGUGUAUCGGUGACCACGAGUUACCGAGGUGCCGAAGGGAAACCGUGAAACGUGCCGCCUGGGAAGUACGGUCGCAAGGCUGAAACUUAAAGGAAUUGCGGGGGAGCACCACAACAGGUGGAGCCUGCGGUUUAAUUGGACUCAACGCCGGGAAGCUCACCGGAUAGGACAGCAGAAUGAUUGCCGGGCUGAAGACCCUGCAUGACUAGCUG